Molecule: long non-coding RNA, 2062 nt
Organism: Haliotis rufescens (red abalone)
Lineage: Eukaryota; Metazoa; Mollusca; Gastropoda; Lepetellida; Haliotidae
Exons: 3
Source: RefSeq, a predicted model, not a curated record
CCGACCUCUGAAUAUACUGCAUGACUUGGCUGGGAGGAAUAUGCCAGACAGAGUAAUUGGACUGGUUACGCUGUUCGCCAACAAGUUGUCUCAACGUCAGAUCGGAAUCAGUGCUUUAGGCCUAAUGACCAUCACGAAGGAUACGAUCCUAACGAUCAUCGGUACCCUCCUGACCUACGUUUUCAUCGUGAUCCAGUUUAAACCGGAAUCAACGUGUGAAUGUCGACAAGAUGCAAACACUACAGCAAUAUAAUUGCAUCAACUCGUAUUUGAUUUUGCACGAAUGGCUAGUCAGCUUUACUUUGUGAUAUUUUAACAUCGCCUCAACAGACAUAUUAAGAGCAGACACCAGAGAACAAUUACACACCAUUACCUGCCCUAAAGGCAGUGUUGGUGAAAGUUAAUUGAAGGAUCGCCGAAAAUCAGAAACAGUGCUUUGUGACGUCUGUCAAGUUUUAAAUUGGUGUAAUGGGCUCCGAAUGUUUACAAAUAGAUAUAUGCCUACAAAGACGCCCUUAAGCCACAAGCAAAUACACGAUGUUAGCAGAAUAACGGGAUGCAUGUGCAUAUGUGUUUUUCACGCCGAAGACCCGGGUUCGAUUCCCGACACGGAUACAAUGUGUGAAGCCCAUUUCUGGUGUCCCCCGCCGUGAUAUUGCUGGAAUAUUGCUAAAAGCGGCGUAAAACCACACUCACUCACUCACUCGCAUAUGUGUUUAGUUGUAUGAAUGUCGGAAAGCAACAAACAAAAUACUUUAGCGUCAGUUGGAGAUGGGUUUUAAGCAUUGGUUCAUCAACCCAUAUGUUUCAAUCCCCAGAUUAUAUUUAGACAGCAUAUGAAACUUUGAUGUCCAACACAUUCGUAUUCAAUAUUUCUAAAAAUGGCAAAAACGACAUCCACUCACUCAACAACAGAAACGCCAGUCAGAAUGGAACAGACGGGACGAGAAACCCUCUGUGAAAGCAAACCCUUCUUUUCAUGCUACAUUCUUUAUGAUUCAUGGAAUACGUGUCGUUUGAUUUGACAGAGCCAAAACAGAUAUUAAUAUAACAAAUAUUAAUUUAACCCAAAAAAAUGUGAACACGACUCACUUAUACCCCCGACCUCGACUCCAACGUAUUUCGACGUUCAAAACACGAAGGAAGCGAUUGUUUCUCAGAAGACCCCCUUAUCGGAAUAUAAUCUUGCACUGCACCUCUACUGUUAAUAAGGAAAAUGUACCCCAAAUAGCAGAAGAGCACAUGAAGUAAUCUUUAAGCUAUAGGUCGGACAAAUGUUGAAGUAAACAAAAUUCUAAGUUCAAAACAGUUCGUAUUUUCACAGAUAAUCCACAUAUCCAAAUUUAACUUUGCACUACACCUUUUCUAUUCGGACGGAAACUGUUCCCUAAAGUUGAAAAGAAUCCAUGCAGCAGUACAAAUGUGUCAGUAAAACAAAAUUCUAAAUAUUGAAAUCUAACUUCGCACUGCACCUCUCUUAAUGGUUUCGAAAGUCUAAAAUGAAUCUAUGCAGUAGUUUAUGAGUUAUAGGUCGCACUAAAAACGUCUUCGGAAGGACGGACGGCAAGACGCAGGGGCUGGAAUAAUGACCUGUUGUAGACACCUUAUCAGCCUAAUCUGUAACCAUGUCUAACCUUUUGUUGCAGACUGUAGUUACACGAACCUAUUCUACCACCCACGAAGCUCCACUGGGACUUCUUUAUAACAUGUUUGUCAUUCUGGUAUUAUGCUCGAAGGAUUACAGUAAAUAUGUAACUUCUGUUCAACUCGGUAGCCAGCAAAGUGAAGGUCGUUGUCUUCGUGUUACGUGUGGAUGUUCUAUAUUCUAUUGCUUUUAUUUCCAUUUGAAUCGUUGUGGCAGAAACGACUUGAUUCACUUUGGACUUUCCCCUCACAUUUAGCUGACGCAUCCUGAAAUAAUGAACUAUCGUCAAUUAUAAUUCGCCGUACAUGGAAUAACAGACAUUCGUUGCAAGUUACCGUUUUAAUACGAAAUUCGGUCCCAAAGAAAAUCACAUCCCAAAUUGUUUUCCCCUACAAAACAGUUAUAGCUAAGUAUUUA